This 463-nucleotide ribosomal RNA is filed under the name uncultured bacterium. RNAcentral describes it as "bacterial SSU rRNA". It matches the Rfam family "Bacterial small subunit ribosomal RNA", at positions 28 to 474 of the family's 1533-position model. The record is from RNAcentral.
GAUGAACGCUGGCGGCAUGCCUAAUACAUGCAAGUCGAACGAGAGGAAGGAAAGCUUGCUUUUCUGAAUCUAGUGGCGAACGGGUGAGUAACACGUAGGUAACCUGCCCAUGUGCCCGGGAUAACUUCUGGAAACGGAUGCUAAAACCGGAUAGGUAGCAGACAAGCAUUUGACUGCUAUUAAAGUGGCCUUGGCCAUGAACAUGGAUGGACCUGCGGUGCAUUAGCUGGUUGGUGAGGUAACGGCCCACCAAGGCGACGAUGCAUAGCCGGCCUGAGAGGGCGGACGGCCACAUUGGGACUGAGACACGGCCCAAACUCCUACGGGAGGCAGCAGUAGGGAAUUUUCGUCAAUGGGGGGAACCCUGAACGAGCAAUGCCGCGUGAGUGAGGAAGGUCUUCGGAUCGUAAAGCUCUGUUGUAAGAGAAAAACGGCACUCAUAGGGAAUGAUGAGUGAGUGAUG